GUGGGCCAAGGAAAGAGUGAUGAAAUCCCUUCCCUUAUCUUGUGAGUGGGUUUUGCCCUUAAGAUUUAUUUAAAAUGAUGCUCCACACAACGAGAUAAUAAAAGCUAUAAACAAAUAUGGAUGCUUCUACACUACGUGAUUUACUCUAAAGAAAGGAAGAAAUUAACGCACCUUAGGGUCCUCCAGCGAUCACCACAAUUUAAGGUACGAAAAUUUAAAAAAAAACAAAAAUUAAAAUCUAAAUGAUGUGCCCUAAGUGUAAAAAUGCAUGAUGCAACACAUAUGUAGUUCUAGCUAAUAUUUUUGGAUUUUAAAAUUUUUUAAUUUUUUUGUGAUUUUCAAUUUUCAAAUUUGUUUGUGAUUUUCUAAAUAGAGGCGAAAAAUAAGAGUGGAGAGAUACGGGAUACCAAAGCAAGCUUCCAAAUCCGAGCAAAAUUUGUUCACUUUACUCCAUGAUUCCCGAAUAUUCCUCCAAAUUCCUCGAAAUAAAAACAAAAAGUGAGAAACAAACUAAUC
RNAcentral lists this long non-coding RNA (516 nucleotides) under Daucus carota (carrot). RNAcentral's name for it is "long non-coding RNA (DCAR_LNC002085)". The record is from RNAcentral. Lineage: Eukaryota; Viridiplantae; Streptophyta; Magnoliopsida; Apiales; Apiaceae.